ACGAACGCUGGCGGCAUGCCUAACACAUGCAAGUCGAACGAGACCUUCGGGUCUAGUGGCGCACGGGUGCGUAACGCGUGGGAAUCUGCCCUUCGGUUCGGAAUAACAGUUAGAAAUGACUGCUAAUACCGGAUGAUGACUUCGGUCCAAAGAUUUAUCGCCGAGGGAUGAGCCCGCGUAGGAUUAGCUUGUUGGUGAGGUAAAGGCUCACCAAGGCGACGAUCCUUAGCUGGUCUGAGAGGAUGAUCAGCCACACUGGGACUGAGACACGGCCCAGACUCCUACGGGAGGCAGCAGUGGGGAAUAUUGGACAAUGGGCGAAAGCCUGAUCCAGCAAUGCCGCGUGAGUGAUGAAGGCCUUAGGGUUGUAAAGCUCUUUUACCCGGGAAGAUAAUGACUGUACCGGGAGAAUAAGCCCCGGCUAACUCCGU
RNAcentral lists this ribosomal RNA (431 nucleotides) under uncultured bacterium. RNAcentral describes it as "bacterial SSU rRNA". It matches the Rfam family "Bacterial small subunit ribosomal RNA", at positions 29 to 506 of the family's 1533-position model. The record is from RNAcentral.